This 253-nucleotide ribosomal RNA is filed under the name uncultured bacterium. RNAcentral's name for it is "partial 16S ribosomal RNA". It matches the Rfam family "Bacterial small subunit ribosomal RNA", at positions 524 to 776 of the family's 1533-position model. The record is from RNAcentral.
UACGGGGGGUGCGAGCGUUGUCCGGAAUCACUGGGCGUAAAGGGCGCGUAGGUGGUUUGAUAAGGGUGUGGUGAAAGCCCGGGGCUCAACCCCGGGUCUGCCGUGCCGACUGUCAAACUCGAGGGCUGUAGAGGCAGACGGAAUUCCGGGUGUAGCGGUGGAAUGCGUAGAGAUCCGGAGGAAGACCGGUGGCGAAGGCGGUCUGCUGGGCAGUUUCUGACACUGAGGAGCGAAAGCGUGGGGAGCGAACAGG